GGAGUGGUAGCUCAGUUGGUUAGAGCACCGGCCUGUCACGCCGGGGGUCGCGGGUUCGAGUCCCGUUCACUCCG
RNAcentral lists this transfer RNA (74 nucleotides) under Achromatium sp. WMS3. It matches the Rfam family "tRNA". From Rfam's summary of the family: Transfer RNA (tRNA) molecules are approximately 80 nucleotides in length. Their secondary structure includes four short double-helical elements and three loops (D, anti-codon, and T loops). Further hydrogen bonds mediate the characteristic L-shaped molecular structure. tRNAs have two regions of fundamental functional importance: the anti-codon, which is responsible for specific mRNA codon recognition, and the 3' end, to which the tRNAs corresponding amino acid is attached (by aminoacyl-tRNA synthetases). tRNAs cope with the degeneracy of the genetic code in two manners: having more than one tRNA (with a specific anti-codon) for a particular amino acid; and 'wobble' base-pairing, i.e. permitting non-standard base-pairing at the 3rd anti-codon position. Lineage: Bacteria; Pseudomonadati; Pseudomonadota; Gammaproteobacteria; Thiotrichales; Thiotrichaceae. The record is from Rfam by way of RNAcentral.